AUGAUUAGGCGCCGCCGCUCACGGUGGCGGCAAAGGAGUCGACGCCGUUUGUUGAGGCUCCUCCGACGAGAUUCACGUCUCUGUCUACCUGAAAACCGCCCGCGUUAGGGCAAAAUCACCGCUCUCUACACCACCACUCUCAACCUAAUCAUCAUAACAACUUCACCGGAGACGAAGGUGUGAUCUGGGUUUGAAGAUCUGAAUCUGUUUUCUUUUUUCUUUUCUUUCUUUUUUUUUUAUUUUUGAAGUAGAUUUUUCAAUAAUUGUGGUUUGAUUUGAAAUUAUGAAUGAUAGUUGUGGAUUGGUGUUUUUAUUAUAGUAGGAUUUGAGAUU
This 333-nucleotide long non-coding RNA is filed under the name Helianthus annuus (common sunflower). Its description in RNAcentral is "sRNA HanXRQr2_Chr13g0582961". The record is from RNAcentral. Lineage: Eukaryota; Viridiplantae; Streptophyta; Magnoliopsida; Asterales; Asteraceae.